ACUCAAAUGAAUUGACGGGGGCCCGCACAAGCGGUGGAUUAUGUGGAUUAAUUCGAUGCAACGCGAAAAACCUUACCUACCCUUGACAUGUGCGGAAUCCGGAGGAGACUCCGGAGCGCCCGAAAGGGAACCGCAACACAGGUGCUGCAUGGCUGUCGUCAGCUCGUGUCGUGAGAUGUUGGGUUAAGUCCCGCAACGAGCGCAACCCUUGCCAUUAAUUGCCAUCCGAAAGGGGCACUUUAAUGGGACUGCCGGUGACAAACCGGAGGAAGGUGGGGAUGACGUCAAGUCCUCAUGGCCCUUAUGGGUAGGGCUUCACACGUAAUACAAUGGCCGGUACAGAGGGUUGCCAACCCGCGAGGGGGAGCCAAUCCCAGAAAGCCGGUCGUAGUCCGGAUUGCAGUCUGCAACUCGACUGCAUGAAGUCGGAAUCGCUAGUAAUCGCGGAUCAGCAUGUCGCGGUGAAUACGUUCCCGGGCCUUGUACACACCGCCCGU
This 497-nucleotide ribosomal RNA is filed under the name uncultured bacterium. RNAcentral's name for it is "partial 16S ribosomal RNA". It matches the Rfam family "Bacterial small subunit ribosomal RNA", at positions 899 to 1397 of the family's 1533-position model. The record is from RNAcentral.